Molecule: long non-coding RNA, 1803 nt
Filed under: Daucus carota (carrot)
Lineage: Eukaryota; Viridiplantae; Streptophyta; Magnoliopsida; Apiales; Apiaceae
Description: long non-coding RNA (DCAR_LNC002356)
Source: RNAcentral
CCAAAAAUCAUAUGGAACAUAUGUAACCUGCAAUCACAAAUGGAAAGAGUUCUAUGGUCCCCAAUCAUAACUGGGUCCGGAUGGAUUAGAGAUUUUUCUUUAACAAUGGUAACAACAGAAGCAACCUUAACAUGCUAAUUCUUAUCUAGACAUUGCCCUAAUGUGAUUCUCAAACAUGCUUUUCUAAAAUCAAUGCAAUUACAAAGACAUGCAUUCAUGACAUGAAAAUAAGCAGACAUAUAUGAUGUUGAAUACACAUGGCAAACAAUCAAAGAUAAGACAAGAGCAAGACAGGCAGUUAUGCAAUUCAGAAGAUUUAAUACUCUCUACUUAAACCAAUUAACACAAGUGCAACAGGUAGCAAGUAGAAUUACAUAAUCUUCGAAAAGCAUAAGGAUCAUAGACAAAUUAAUAAUCACAUUAUCAAUCCAAACUAAUCCCACUCUGUUGUUAUAUGGCAUUAUACUAUCUCUAUUACCUAAGUCAGUUUUAGAUCUAACAUGAAGUUCUAAAAGUUCUACUGACACAAGGUAGACAUUCCAUCAUAGAACAAAAAAAUUCCUUAACAAACAAUUCAGAUUAGAUAAGCAAAUCUAAUUGUACUAGGGAAUCUGAAAGUAAGUGUUUUAACAAAGUUAUACAUGCUAGGAUCAUAACCCCUAAAACUAAGAGUUGUGUUCCAAAGGAAAGCUUCUAAUCUCACCAUUGCAAAUAAUCAAAUCCUAAAUAUUCAUACACAUGUUAAGAAUCUGCUAAAGACACAUGCACAAGAUUAUCAUCAAUCCUAGUUACCAGAACAGUGAUCUAGCAUACUAGUUCAACAUUAUCUAUUGUGAUGCUAUCAUGCUUGUGCUUGUGUGUUAAACAAUUCUACUCAGAGAUUUAUAACAUGCUUUGAAUAUAAAGAAAUAUGUAUUGCAUAGUUAGAAAGAAUUCGUACCUGAGAUGUGCGAGUUGAGUCAUCUUCAGAGAAUGCUAGGAUAGCCAGAUAACCAUAAUCAUCCUUCUCAUCAGCAACUGAUCCAGCUCACUCCAUCUUCAGUUGAAGUUCCAUAUUAGCUACGAGCAAAAUUCACAUCCUUCCUGAUUUGAGAUAAAACACUAUUCCAUGAACUGACAUACUGUCAUUUGUUAGAGAACAGUCUGAUACUAGGAAUUUGUGUGCUUUGACUCUUCCAAGAAAGAUAUGCUUCCAUGAUGACAUUCCAGGAAAACAGGCAUGUCCCGCAAGAGAAUCUUUGUUGUCAUCUUUCAAAGAUUAUUGACGGAACUGCUCACACGAUCACAUUUGCUAACAGGGUACUUUUUGUGAAUCAUAUGAUUUCAGCUACUCAGCAAACAGAGUGCACCAAAAAUCAUAUGGAACAUAUGUAACCUGCAAUCACAAAUGGAAAGAGUUCUAUGGUCCCCAAUCAUAACUGGGUCCGGAUGGAUUAGAGAUUUUUCUUUAACAGUGGUAACAACAGAAGCAACCUUAACAUGCUAAUUCUUAUCUAGACAUUGCCCUAAUGUGAUUCUCAAACAUGCUUUUCUAAAAUCAAUGCAAGUACAAAGACAUGCAUUCAUGACAUGAAAAUAAGCAGACAUGAUGUUGAAUACACAUGGCAAACAAUCAAAGAUAAGACAAGAGCAAGACAGGCAGUUAUGCAAUUCAGAAGAUUCAGUACUCUCUACUUAAACCAAUUAACACAAGUGCAACAGGUAUCAAGUAGAAUUACAUAUAUUCAAUAAUCUUCUAAGAGCAUAAGGAUCUGAUUCCAAUCUGUUGUUAUAUGGCAUUAUACUAUCUCUAUUACCUAAGUC